This 497-nucleotide ribosomal RNA is filed under the name uncultured bacterium. Its description in RNAcentral is "partial 16S ribosomal RNA". It matches the Rfam family "Bacterial small subunit ribosomal RNA", at positions 28 to 507 of the family's 1533-position model. The record is from RNAcentral.
GAUGAACGCUGGCGGCGUGCCUAAUACAUGCAAGUCGGGCGAACGGACGAGAAGCUUGCUUUUCUGAUGUUAGCGGCGGACGGGUGAGUAACACGUGGAUAACCUACCUAUAAGACUGGGAUAACUUCGGGAAACCGGAGCUAAUACCGGAUAAUAUUUUGAACCGCAUGGUUCAAAAGUGAAAGACGGUCUUGCUGUCACUUAUAGAUGGAUCCGCGCUGCAUUAGCUAGUUGGUAAGGUAACGGCUUACCAAGGCAACGAUGCAUAGCCGACCUGAGAGGGUGAUCGGCCACACUGGAACUGAGACAAGGUCCAGACUCCUACGGGAGGCAGCAGUAGGGAAUCUUCCGCAAUGGGCGAAAGCCUGACGGAGCAACGCCGCGUGAGUGAUGAAGGUCUUCGGAUCGUAAAACUCUGUUAUUAGGGAAGAACAUAUGUGUAAGUAACUGUGCACAUCUUGACGGUACCUAAUCAGAAAGCCACGGCUAACUACGUG